This is a long non-coding RNA of Jaculus jaculus (lesser Egyptian jerboa), 196 nucleotides long. RefSeq lists it as uncharacterized. Lineage: Eukaryota; Metazoa; Chordata; Mammalia; Rodentia; Dipodidae. The transcript has 3 exons. The record is from RefSeq and is a predicted model, not a curated record.
UUCAAGAAUAAUGACUUCCUUAACUGGAGUGCCCUUUCUGAUGCAAUCAAGAGGUCAUUUCCUUUUAUUAACUGGGACUUCUUUCCUAAGCUAAAAGGAAUGAGAAGUGCAACUCCUGAUUCCCAGUGAUCAUUCUCUUUAAGACCUAGGACGGCUGACCCCCACUUUCGGAAGAGGAGGCUAGCAUGGGAUCAAC